GAUCCUGCGCCGAAGAUUUCCGGGGCUAAAACUUACUACCGAAGCUACGGCAUCAGUAAUGAUGGGUAGGGGAGCUUCCCAUACGGGUUGAAGCAUGACCGUAAGGACAUGUGGACAGUAUGGGAGGGAGAAUGUUGGCAUGAGUAGCGAGAUGUGGGUGAGAAUCCCACAGGCCGUAAACCCAAGGUUUCCAGGGGAAGGUUCGUCCGCCCUGGGUUAGUCGGGACCUAAGCUGAGGCCGAAAGGCGUAGGUGAUGGACAACAGGUUGAUAUUCCUGUACUACCGAUAACCGUUUGAGAGAAGGGAUGACACAGUAGGAUAAGCUAAGCACACUGUUGGUUAUGUGUGCCCAAGCAUUGAG
RNAcentral lists this ribosomal RNA (362 nucleotides) under Clostridioides difficile. RNAcentral's name for it is "partial 23S ribosomal RNA". It matches the Rfam family "Bacterial large subunit ribosomal RNA", at positions 1155 to 1523 of the family's 2925-position model. The record is from RNAcentral. Lineage: Bacteria; Bacillati; Bacillota; Clostridia; Peptostreptococcales; Peptostreptococcaceae.